UACGGAGGGAGCUAGCGUUGUUCGGAAUUACUGGGCGUAAAGCGCACGUAGGCGGCGUUUCAAGUCAGAGGUGAAAGCCCGGGGCUCAACCCCGGAACUGCCUUUGAAACUAGAUUGCUAGAAUCCUGGAGAGGUUAGUGGAAUUCCGAGUGUAGAGGUGAAAUUCGUAGAUAUUCGGAAGAACACCAGUGGCGAAGGCGACUAACUGGACAGGUAUUGACGCUGAGGUGCGAAAGCGUGGGGAGCAAACAGG
RNAcentral lists this ribosomal RNA (253 nucleotides) under uncultured bacterium. RNAcentral describes it as "partial 16S ribosomal RNA". It matches the Rfam family "Bacterial small subunit ribosomal RNA", at positions 524 to 776 of the family's 1533-position model. The record is from RNAcentral.